UAAGGUGUUGCUAUGGUAUCUGGGGUGGUUGCAAUGAUGUUGCUACGUGGUUGCUAGGGUGUUGCUAUGGUAUCCGGGGUGGUUGCUAAGGUGUCGCUAGGUGGUUGCUAGGGUGUUGCUAGGUGGUUGCUAAGGUGUUGCUAUGGUAUCCGGGGUGGUUGCUAAGGUGUCGCUAGGUGGUUGCUAAGAUGUUGCUAGGUGGUUGCUAAGGUGUUUCUAUGGUAUCUGGGGUGGUUGCUAAGGUGUUUCUAGGUGGUUGCUAGGUGGUUGCUAAGGUGUUGCUUUGGUAUCCGGGGUGGUUGCUAAGAUGUUGCUAGGUGGUUGCUAAGGUGUUGCUAUGGUAUCUGGGGUGGUUGCUAAGGUGUCGCUAGGUGGUUGCUAGGGUGUUGCUAGGUGGUUGCUAAGGUGUUGCUAUGGUAUCCGGGGUGGUUGCUAAGGUGUCGCUAGGUGGUUGCUAAGAUGUUGCUAGGUGGUUGCUAAGGUGUUUCUAUGGUAUCUGGGGUGGUUGCUAAGGUGUUUCUAGGUGGUUGCUAGGUGGUUGCUAAGGUGUUGCUUUGGUAUCCGGGGUGGUUGCUAAGAUGUUGCUAGGUGGUUGCUAAGGUGUUGCUAUGGUAUCUGGGGUGGUUGCUAAGGUGUUUCUAGGUGGUUGCUAGGUGGUUGCUAAGGUGUUGCUAUGGUAUCCGGGGUGGUUGCUAAGAUGUUGCUAGGUGGUUGCUAAGGUGUUGCUAUGGUAUCUAGGGUGGUUGCUAUGUGGUUGCUAAGGUGUUGCUAUGCGGUUGCUAAGGUGUUUCUAAAGUGGUUACUAAGUGGUUGCUAGGCAGUUGCUAACGUUUUCCAUGUGGUUGCUAAGUGGUUGCUUAGUGGUUGCUAAGCAGUUUCUAUCAUUUCUAAAGUGGUUGCUAAGUGGU
This is a long non-coding RNA of Astyanax mexicanus (Mexican tetra), 908 nucleotides long. RefSeq lists it as uncharacterized. The transcript has 3 exons. NCBI's taxonomy places the organism in Eukaryota, Metazoa, Chordata, Actinopteri, Characiformes, Acestrorhamphidae. The record is from RefSeq and is a predicted model, not a curated record.